GGAAUUUCUAGAAACCAAAUCCACAGAGUGCAUGUCAUGACUUCUUAUCUGGGAAUUUUGUGGUGUUAAAUCAGUCCUUAAUCAGACCUUGAUCAAGA
Molecule: non-coding RNA, 98 nt
Organism: Zootoca vivipara (common lizard)
Lineage: Eukaryota; Metazoa; Chordata; Lepidosauria; Squamata; Lacertidae
Source: RefSeq, a predicted model, not a curated record